GAAGAUGAUAACACUAACCUGCUAAAUUAGUAA
Molecule: transfer RNA, 33 nt
Filed under: Paroedura sp. GO-2011
Lineage: Eukaryota; Metazoa; Chordata; Lepidosauria; Squamata; Gekkonidae
Description: partial transfer RNA-Ser
Source: RNAcentral